UCCUCUGUAGUUCAGUCGGUAGAACGGCGGACUGUUAAUCCGUAUGUCACUGGUUCGAAUCCAGUCAGAAGAGCCA
Molecule: transfer RNA, 76 nt
Filed under: Klebsiella aerogenes
Lineage: Bacteria; Pseudomonadati; Pseudomonadota; Gammaproteobacteria; Enterobacterales; Enterobacteriaceae
Description: tRNA-Asn
Rfam family: tRNA
About the family: Transfer RNA (tRNA) molecules are approximately 80 nucleotides in length. Their secondary structure includes four short double-helical elements and three loops (D, anti-codon, and T loops).
Source: RNAcentral